Molecule: ribosomal RNA, 332 nt
Filed under: uncultured eukaryote
Lineage: Eukaryota
Description: partial 18S ribosomal RNA
Rfam family: Eukaryotic small subunit ribosomal RNA
Source: RNAcentral
CAAUAGCGUAUAUUAAAGUUGUUGCAGUUAAAAAGCUCGUAGUUGAAUUUCGGGUCCCCGCGCUCGGCGCUUCAUUGUGCCGUCGUGGUGUCCCUCCUCGCCGUAAGGCGUCCUUUACUGUGAAAAAAUUAGAGUGUUCAAAGCAGGCAAUCGCUUGAAUACAUUAGCAUGGAAUAAUAAGAUAGGAUCUUGUCUAUUUUGUUGGUUGCGGACAACGAUAAUGAUUAAUAGGGAUAGUUGGGGGUGUCCGUAUUGAGCUGUCAGAGGUGAAAUUCUUGGAUUUGCUCAAGACGAACUACUGCGAAAGCAUUUACCAAGGAUGUUUUCAUUAA